Molecule: ribosomal RNA, 468 nt
Filed under: uncultured bacterium
Lineage: Bacteria
Description: partial 16S ribosomal RNA
Rfam family: Bacterial small subunit ribosomal RNA
Source: RNAcentral
GACGAACGCUGGCGGCGUGCUUAACACAUGCAAGUCGAACGGAAAGGCCCUGCUUUUGUGGGGUGCUCGAGUGGCGAACGGGUGAGUAACACGUGAGUAACCUGCCCUUGACUUUGGGAUAACUUCAGGAAACUGGGGCUAAUACCGGAUAGGAGCUCCUGCUGCAUGGUGGGGGUUGGAAAGUUUCGGCGGUUGGGGAUGGACUCGCGGCUUAUCAGCUUGUUGGUGGGGUAGUGGCUUACCAAGGCUUUGACGGGUAGCCGGCCUGAGAGGGUGACCGGCCACAUUGGGACUGAGAGACGGCCCAGACUCCUACGGGAAGCAGCAGUGGGGAAUAUUGCACAAUGGGCGGAAGCCUGAUGCAGCAACGCCGCGUGCGGGAUGACGGCCUUCGGGUUGUAAACCGCUUUCGCCUGUGACGAAGCGUGAGUGACGGUAAUGGGUAAAGAAGCACCGGCUAACUACGUG